RNAcentral lists this ribosomal RNA (836 nucleotides) under uncultured delta proteobacterium. RNAcentral describes it as "bacterial SSU rRNA". It matches the Rfam family "Bacterial small subunit ribosomal RNA", at positions 70 to 923 of the family's 1533-position model. The record is from RNAcentral. Lineage: Bacteria; Deltaproteobacteria.
GAAAGUCCUUCGGGAUGAGUACAGCGGCGGACGGGUGAGGAAUACGUAGAUAAUCUGCCUUAAACAGGGGAAUAACUACUCGAAAGAGUAGCUAAUACCGCAUAAGACCACAGGGGCUUCGGCUCUAGGGGUAAAAGGCUUCGGUCGGUUUAAGAUGAGUCUGCGCCCGAUUAGCUAGUUGGUAAGGUAAUGGCUUACCAAGGCUACGAUCGGUAACUGGUCUGAGAGGAUGGCCAGUCACACUGGAACUGAGACACGGUCCAGACUCCUACGGGAGGCAGCAGUAGGGAAUAUUGCACAAUGGAGGAAACUCUGAUGCAGCGACGCCGCGUGAGUGAUGAAGGCCUUCGGGUUGUAAAACUCUGUGAUAAGGGAAGAUGAUGACGGUACCUUAUCAGAAAGGACCGGCUAACUUCGUGCCAGCAGCCGCGGUAAUACGAGGGGUCCAAGCGUUGUUCGGAAUCACUGGGCGUAAAGCGGGUGUAGGUGGCCAAGCAAGUUAGAUGUGAAAGCCCCGGGCUCAACCCGGGAAGUGCAUCUAAAACUACAUGGCUUGAGUAAGGGAGAGAAAGGUAGAAUUCCAGGUGUAGUGGUGAAAUACGUAGAUAUCUGGAGGAACACCGGUGGCGAAGGCGGCCUUUUGGCCCAUUACUGACACUCAGACCCGAAAGCGUGGGUAGCAAACAGGAUUAGAUACCCUGGUAGUCCACGCCGUAAACUAUGAUCACUUGGUGUUGGAGGUAUUGACCCCUUCAGUGCCGGAGCUAACGCGUUAAGUGAUCCGCCUGGGAAGUACGGUCGCAAGAUUAAAACUCAAAGAAAUUGACGGGGGCCCG